Molecule: unclassified non-coding RNA, 354 nt
Filed under: Filobasidium magnum
Lineage: Eukaryota; Fungi; Basidiomycota; Tremellomycetes; Filobasidiales; Filobasidiaceae
Description: sequence contains ITS2
Rfam family: 5.8S ribosomal RNA (bases 1-88)
Source: RNAcentral
AUGUGAUUGCAGAUUCCGUGAUCAUCGAAUCUUUAGAACGCACCUUGCGCUCCUUGGUAUUCCGAAGAGCAUGCCUGUUUGAGUGCCAUGAAACCCCCAAACCCAAGCUUUGUAUUUCGAUCCAUGCUUGAGUGAGGAUUUGGAUGUUUGCCGGUGAUGAACCGACUCAUCUUAAAAGUUUUACCUAGGAUCUGUCUAUAUGACUGACCUUUCUUGGGGAAUCCCGGUUUUGUUUAUCCGGCUUCAAAUGGUAAGGACCUGGCAUAGGGUCAGCUAACUAAACCAUCACCUAAAAUGCGUUGGUGUAUGUUAAUCAUUGGGUAGAUUUGGAAUCUCGGCCCACAUCCAGUUGGA